AUUAAAAGAUAACACGGAAACAUCGUCAGCCUUCGUUGGCUUCAAGGAUUUAAAAGAUACCGACCAAGAAAGGAUAAAAAAAGCACGCGAAAAGCUCGCGUUUGCAUUGAAAAUGGAGAAACCGGAAAAAAAGAAGGGAAAACGAACUGUAGAUGACGAUGAAUCAGAAUGGAAGCCACACACGAAGAAACCGAAAACUAAGACACAAUCUGAAAAGGAAUAAGCAGCCGAAAAACACGCUUACCAAAUACCAGACCACUACGAAGAAUCACAUCUGGAGCCACCUAUUACAAAUAGGACAAACAGUCCAUUUGAGCCAACGAUAUAUACAGGUGGAGAGCACACGUAUGAAAUAGAGGACUUUUUACACAUUUAUAUUAGUAAACAGAAAGACAGUGUCCUAGUUGGUAUAAUACAUUUCUAUGCAAAAGCACCGAGUAGAAUCCUUAAACCUGGGAUGAAGGGAAUAUACCUUACCGUUGGUCAAUACCGUACACUAAUCAGUAAGAGAGUUUCUAUUUCAAACGCAAUCAAACAAAUUAAAGAAGACACAGAAGGAAAAGGUUUGAAACAGAUGAAGAAAGACAAACAAGUUGCUGCUAAAACAGAUUUCGAUAUUUCCAAAAACAAAAAGGUCAUUGUUAAAUCCGAAUUCAUUUCCUGGAGUCAACAAGUGGUAGUAGACAUCCGUGAUUACAGCACACCAGCAGAACAACCCGGAGAGAUACCAUUACUCACAGAUAAGGGGGUCACACUAACUGAAAAACAAUGGAAUAAAUUAUUAUCAUUGCAUUUAAAAGUCAUCAGAGACCUGGCAGAUAAUUUUGAUCAUUUGGAAGAUUUCGCUGAUGAACUCAGUGCUUUGUAGAUCAGAGUGACUUAUUUUGUGGAACAAUGUUUUCGUAAAAGACGACAUUGAUGAUAACGUGUAAAUACAGGACAGUUCUGUUCAUAUAUUUAUUUUCUAUAAUAAAACCCUUUUUUCAA
Mytilus californianus (California mussel) is the source of this 987-nucleotide long non-coding RNA. RefSeq lists it as uncharacterized. The transcript has 2 exons. Lineage: Eukaryota; Metazoa; Mollusca; Bivalvia; Mytilida; Mytilidae. The record is from RefSeq and is a predicted model, not a curated record.